Molecule: ribosomal RNA, 508 nt
Filed under: uncultured bacterium
Lineage: Bacteria
Description: partial 16S ribosomal RNA
Rfam family: Bacterial small subunit ribosomal RNA
Source: RNAcentral
GACGAACGCUGGCGGCGUGCCUAAUACAUGCAAGUCGAACGCUUCUUUCCUCCCGAGUGCUUGCACUCAAUUGGAAAGAGGAGUGGCGGACGGGUGAGUAACACGUGGGUAACCUACCCAUCAGAGGGGGAUAACACUUGGAAACAGGUGCUAAUACCGCAUAACAGUUUAUGCCGCAUGGCAUAAGAGUGAAAGGCGCUUUCGGGUGUCGCUGAUGGAUGGACCCGCGGUGCAUUAGCUAGUUGGUGAGGUAACGGCUCACCAAGGCCACGAUGCAUAGCCGACCUGAGGGGGUGAUCGGCCACACUGGGACUGAGACACGGCCCAGACUCCUACGGGAGGCAGCAGUAGGGAAUCUUCGGCAAUGGACGAAAGUCUGACCGAGCAACGCCGCGUGAGUGAAGAAGGUUUUCGGAUCGUAAAACUCUGUUGUUAGAGAAGAACAAGGACGUUAGUAACUGAACGUCCCCUGGCGGUAUCUAACCAGAAAGCCACGGCUAACUACGUG